RNAcentral lists this long non-coding RNA (1623 nucleotides) under Anas platyrhynchos platyrhynchos (common mallard). RNAcentral describes it as "lncRNA (ENSAPLG00000020738.1)". The record is from RNAcentral. Lineage: Eukaryota; Metazoa; Chordata; Aves; Anseriformes; Anatidae.
GCGACCACCAGCCCGGUGACCACCAGCACCUCUGAGGUGCGGCGGCCGCCUGUGGAGUUUCAUCCCGCCCCAAAAGCGACUGGCACCACCUCACUCAGGAAUAACUCGAUAACUUCUUUUUUGUCUGUUUUUGCCCCCCAGGGGCAAUCCCCACGACACCACACUCCCCGCCGGGUCGCUUUUCCCCCAUGGGCAGGGCGAGGCAGGAGCAGCCGCUCCCUCAAACCCGCAGCUUCCCCCUUCUUCUUCCUCUUUUUUUUUUUUUUUUUUUUUUCUUCGUCUCUUGGUUUAAACCCCUCCGGGCUUGAGUUGUGGGUGAGGAGCCUGCGGGAAAGUGUCAGGAAACCAAAACAACCCAAGAAAUCGCCGUGCUCCUUACCGCUCAGCAGUCCCCUUGCCGGCGCGCCCCCUGCUCCUUCCCCGCCCCGCCACGUCGGCAGCAGCGGGGGGAGGAGGAAGCGAUGGCCGGGCGGCCAUGGGCCGGCUCUGCUGUGCUGUGCUGUGCCGGGCCGCUGGGAGGAGGGAGGGCUCUUCCCUCAGUCCUUCUCCCUCACGUCCCUCCAAAGCGGCUGCCUGUUGUGCCCAGGGCUGGAGGCUAUGCCGGCAGCACUGCCCCGCCGCAGGCAGAGUCACCCCAGCCACCAUUACCAACCCCUUACAGCCCCGCUUGUCUCAGGAGGCAGAAAGGGGCUGAAAUAUGCGGCUGUAGGAUUACACUGCUGGGAGUUGGCCUUUCAGGUGACACCCUGCACCUUGGCUGCAUAUCUAGGAAAUGCAGCCGAAAGUAGCUGGGAGGUGCGUACACAAACUUCCAGCAAAGCAUACCCUCUUGCAGUUCCAGGAUUUGUUGCGGCAUCGUUUCUGUCACCAGACUUCCUUUGCUGGAAAAAAAAAAAAAAUUGCUGUUGGUACAGGAAGCAUAACAAAACUUCUUAUGAAUCACUGAGGAGAGCUGCUGUAGGAGGUCAUGAAGUAAAACCUCAGUUCUCAGAAGCGUGCCUCACAAAUGAGGAUAAAGCUCCAUGACUUAGCAAAACAAUCUGAAGUAUCCCAUUAAGGUAGGUGAUAGCAGAACACGUGCUCGUAUUUCUAAACAAUAAGCUUAUUUUUAGGUGUUUCAAUGAGAAUGUAAGUAUCAGGGCAUGCUGGAAGUUCUGGUGUCUUUUAGGUUGAUUAAUGUGUAGAUGUAUUUAUUAGGAUUCACAAGUUCUUUUUAAGGGAGCUUGUGAUAGAGUAAAGGCAUUGUUUUUGUAGGAAUCAUAAUAGAUGAAGCUCAAUAGUUGGGGGUUUGUUUUUCCUUCUCAUGACUGGUAAUUUUGACUAUAAAAUAGAUCUUGCAGUAAUUAGUCAGUAUUGCAAUAGGAAGUUGCUACUCAAGGAUGAAAGAACAUUGUAAAUGUGUGUAUAUGUCUGUCUGUGAGAUAGGACGUUGUAUGAGUUUCCCGAGUUCCUAAUUGGCUUCACUGAAUUUAGCACUUGUGUUUACUAGUUUUCUUUCUCUUUCACUUUUCAGUAAUUCAUUUUGCUUGUAUUUUCUCACUGCGGAAAUGUUGCAAAUGGUUUUGGAACAGAAAAAUUAGUGCAGAAAAUGAGCAAUAAACAAAGAUAGAACACUUCUACUCA